CGAUAGAACGCUGAAGACUGGUGCUUGCACUAGUCAGAUGAGUUGCGAACGGGUGAGUAACGCGUAGGUAACCUACCUCAUAGCGGGGGAUAACUAUUGGAAACGAUAGCUAAUACCGCAUGACAAUUAAGUACUCAUGUACUAAAUUUAAAAGGAGCAAUUGCUUCACUAUGAGAUGGACCUGCGUUGUAUUAGCUAGUUGGUGAGGUAACGGCUCACCAAGGCCACGAUACAUAGCCGACCUGAGAGGGUGAUCGGCCACACUGGGACUGAGACACGGCCCAGACUCCUACGGGAGGCAGCAGUAGGGAAUCUUCGGCAAUGGGGGCAACCCUGACCGAGCAACGCCGCGUGAGUGAAGAAGGUUUUCGGAUCGUAAAGCUCUGUUGUUAGAGAAGAACGGUAAUGGGAGUGGAAAAUCCAUUACGUGACGGUAACUAACCAGAAAGGGACGGCUAACUACGUGCCAGCAGCCGCGGUAAUACGUAGGUCUCGAGCGUUGUCCGGAUUUAUUGGGCGUAAAGCGAGCGCAGGCGGUUAUUUAAGUCUGAAGUUAAAGGCCGUGGCUCAACCAUGGUUCGCUUUGGAAACUGGAUAACUUGAGUGCAGAAGGGGAGAGUGGAAUUCCAUGUGUAGCGGUGAAAUGCGUAGAUAUAUGGAGGAACACCGGUGGCGAAAGCGGCUCUCUGGUCUGUAACUGACGCUGAGGCUCGAAAGCGUGGGGAGCAAACAGGAUUAGAUACCCUGGUAGUCCACGCCGUAAACGAUGAGUGCUAGGUGUUAGGCCCUUUCCGGGGCUUAGUGCCGCAGCUAACGCAUUAAGCACUCCGCCUGGGGAGUACGACCGCAAGGUUGAAACUCAAAGGAAUUGACGGGGGCCCGCACAAGCGGUGGAGCAUGUGGUUUAUUCGAAGCACGCGAAGA
RNAcentral lists this ribosomal RNA (924 nucleotides) under Streptococcus parauberis. RNAcentral's name for it is "bacterial SSU rRNA". It matches the Rfam family "Bacterial small subunit ribosomal RNA", at positions 58 to 967 of the family's 1533-position model. Lineage: Bacteria; Bacillati; Bacillota; Bacilli; Lactobacillales; Streptococcaceae. The record is from RNAcentral.